UUUGUUGAAGUUUUUAAGGGCACAGGGUGGAUGCCUUGGCACUAGGAGCCGAAGAAGGACGUGGUAGCCUGCGAUAAGCCUCGGGGAGCUGGCAAACGAGCUGUGAUCCGAGGGUUUCCGAAUGGGGGAACCCCGCACGAGUCAUGUCGUGUGACCCGCACCUGAAUAUAUAGGGUGUGUGGAGGGAACGUCGGGAAGUGAAACAUCUCAGUACCGACAGGAAGAGAUAUUCCGUGAGUAGUGGCGAGCGAAAGCGGAUGAGGCCAAACCGGGCGCGUGUUCAAGCUGUCAGGCGUUGCGUGUUCGGGGUUGUGGGACCCUUCUGGUGGAUCUGACAGUCCGCCGGGGAGUAAGAAAGCCGUGUCAUAGUCGAACCGCAUUGAAAGGCGGACCACAGACGGUGCGAGUCCGGUAGACGAAAUGGUGCGGCCUCCCGAAGGGGAUCCCAAGUAGCACGGGGCCCGAGAAAUCCCGUGUGAAUCCGGCAAGACCACUUGCUAAGCCUAAAUACUACCUAGUGACCGAUAGCGGACCAGUACCGUGAGGGAAAGGUGAAAAGUACCCCGGGAGGGGAGUGAAAUAGUACCUGAAACCGUGUGCCUACAAUCCGUUGGAGCCUCCUUGGCUGGGGUGACAGCGUGCCUUUUGAAGAAUGAGCCUGCGAGUUAGUGCUCAGUGGCGAGGUUAACCCGUGUGGGGAAGCCGUAGCGAAAGCGAGUCCGAACAGGGCGCCCAUAGUCGCUGGGUCUAGACCCGAAGCGAAGUGAUCUAGCCAUGGGCAGGUUGAAGCGCGGGUAAGACCGCGUGGAGGACCGAACCCACCAGGGUUGAAAACCUGGGGGAUGACCUGUGGUUAGGGGUGAAAGGCCAAUCAAACUUCGUGAUAGCUGGUUCUCCCCGAAAUGCAUUUAGGUGCAGCGUCACGUGUUUCUUGCCGGAGGUAGAGCUACUGGAUGGCCGAUGGGCCCUACAAGGUUACUGACGUCAGCCAAACUCCGAAUGCCGGUAAGUGGAAGCGUGGCAGUGAGACUGCGGGGGAUAAGCUCCGUAGUCGAGAGGGAAACAGCCCAGACCACCGGCUAAGGCCCCUAAGCGUGUGCUAAGUGGGAAAGGAUGUGGAGUUGCACAGACAACCAGGAGGUUGGCUUAGAAGCAGCCACCCUUGAAAGAGUGCGUAAUAGCUCACUGGUCAAGUGAUUCCGCGCCGACAAUGUAGCGGGGCUCAAGUACACCGCCGAAGCCGUGGCAUCUGCGCUCAACUCAGGCCUUCGUGGUCCAGAGGCGCAGGUGGGUAGGGGAGCGUCGUGUGGGCGGUGAAGCCGCGGGGGAACCCAGCGGUGGAGCCCACACGAGUGAGAAUGCAGGCAUGAGUAGCGAAAGACGGGUGAGAAACCCGUCCGCCGAAUGACCAAGGGUUCCAGGGCCAGGUUAAUCCGCCCUGGGUAAGUCGGGACCUAAGGCGAGGCCGACAGGCGUAGUCGAUGGACAAGGAGUUGAUAUUCUCCUACCGGCGAAGAACCGCCCAUACCGAGCCCGGUGAUGCUAACCGUCCAAACCUGCCCAUCGACCCUUCGGGGUCACCGGGCAGGGGCGCGCGGGACCCGAACCGGUAGUAGGUAAGCGUAUUAACAGGGGUGACGCAGGAAGGUAGCCCGGCGUGGCGAUGGUAGACCACGUCCAAGGCUGUAGGCCGUCGGGUAGGCAAAUCCGCCCGACAUGAAGG
Molecule: ribosomal RNA, 1723 nt
Filed under: Cellulosimicrobium cellulans
Lineage: Bacteria; Bacillati; Actinomycetota; Actinomycetes; Micrococcales; Promicromonosporaceae
Description: bacterial LSU rRNA
Rfam family: Bacterial large subunit ribosomal RNA
Source: RNAcentral